UCCAGACUCCUACGGGAGGCAGCAGUGGGGGAUAUUGGACAAUGGGGGAAACCCUGAUCCAGCGACGCCGCGUGAGUGAAGAAGUAUUUCGGUAUGUAAAGCUCUGUCAGCAGGGAAGAAAGAAAUGACGGUACCUGACCAAGAAGCCCCGGCUAACUACGUGCCAGCAGCCGCGGUAAUACGUAGGGGGCAAGCGUUAUCCGGAUUUACUGGGUGUAAAGGGGGCGUAGACGGCAGCGCAAGUCUGAAGUGAAAUGCCGGGGCUUAACCCCGGAACUGCUUUGGAAACUGUGCGGCUGGAGUGCAGGAGGGGUAAGCGGAAUUCCUAGUGUAGCGGUGAAAUGCGUAGAUAUUAGGAGGAACACCGGUGGCGAAGGCGGCUUACUGGACUGUAACUGACGUUGAGGCUCGAAAGCGUGGGGAGCAAACAGGAUUAGAUACCCUUGUACU
This 450-nucleotide ribosomal RNA is filed under the name uncultured bacterium. RNAcentral's name for it is "bacterial SSU rRNA". It matches the Rfam family "Bacterial small subunit ribosomal RNA", at positions 330 to 794 of the family's 1533-position model. The record is from RNAcentral.